This is a long non-coding RNA of Eupeodes corollae, 1288 nucleotides long. RefSeq lists it as uncharacterized. The record is from RefSeq and is a predicted model, not a curated record. The transcript is spliced from 3 exons. NCBI's taxonomy places the organism in Eukaryota, Metazoa, Arthropoda, Insecta, Diptera, Syrphidae.
GGGCCCUAUUAUGACUCGCGAGUCGAACGUUCGACUCAAGUCGAACGAUUUGGCGAAUUGCCUAAGUCGUGGUAUUAUGAAAGGCGAACUUCGACGUUCGCUUUUGAAAACAAUAUUACCAACUAUAAGAAGUGAAAUAUGUAACGUCAUGACUCGGUGAAACGUCAAAGACUGAAAAUUAUUGUUGAUGAUAUAUUGUUUACAAUUUGGAAAAAAGUAAAAUAAAUAAAACAAAAUAUGAUAAGCAGUGUUGAUUUAUUUUUUAAAGAUGAAGAUGAAAACGAAAGAGCGGAGAAAGUAUUGGUGUGUAGAGAGAAGUUUAAGGGACAACUCCAACCCACUUCAACUUCCAGAUAAUUUGUAAGAAUAAAAUCGUGAAUUCUAUUUCAGUUUAAUUCAAUUGUUCUUUUUAUAGGUUUGUGUCAUAUUUUCGCAAUAAUAAGCAAGCAUUUGGUUAUAUUUUAAACAUCAUUACACCAGGAUUUAAAACUACUCAAAGUUCUGCAAUUCCAUCAUAUAUAAAAGUUUCAGUAGUUCCAAGUGAAGUUACUUAUUACUUUUUUACUUGUUACUUUUUUGAAAGGGCCAGAUUACCCGGAAUAGUGUGCUGUGUAGAUGGGACUCACAUUGGAAUAAUCGCUCCUGUUCAGCUACAACAUCAAUUUUUGAACAGAAAAGGAUUUUAUAGUUUGAAUGUUAGUGGUGGCCUGUGACAAUAAUGGAAUUAUAAGAUUUAUUGAUUCCAGAUAUCCAGGUUCAACACAUGACUCUUUUGUGUGGAAUCAUAUUGAAUUAAAGGAUCUUUUGGAAAGCUGGUGGUUGAAUGGAGAGCGGUCAAGAUAUCUAGGUGUGAAUAUAUUCCAUUCGUAGAUCCGAAAGAUCCUAUACCUUUCGCAUUUUCGGGGUUUGUCUCCAUAAUUUCAACGAGCUUUAAAAAUUGGUUGGAGUUGGUUCUUUUUAUGCUAGGUAUACAAAUAAAAUUCUAUAUUAUUUUUGCAAUUGUUAAGCAUUCAUUAAUUUUAAGCAUUCAUUACCUUUUUCUAUUUCCAGUGCAACUCAUUUUACUUUAUUUUCCAAAAUUAUUCUCAAAACAAAAUAAAACAAACAAACAACCACCGAUUUCAAAUUUAACAGUAAAUUUCUUCAAGUCACGAAGAACUACAGUUCGACCGAUUCUGACAGAUAAAAGCGAACAUUCGCUAGUGGUAAUAGAGCGAGAUUUCAAUUCGCUAUUUUUUGACAUUUUAGGCGAAUGUCAACUAGGCGAUUCGCAAACGGUAAUACCAAA